RNAcentral lists this ribosomal RNA (301 nucleotides) under uncultured bacterium. Its description in RNAcentral is "partial 16S ribosomal RNA". It matches the Rfam family "Bacterial small subunit ribosomal RNA", at positions 509 to 807 of the family's 1533-position model. The record is from RNAcentral.
CAGUCGCCGCGGGAAAACGAAGGGGGCUAGCGUUGCUCGGAAUGACUGGGCGUAAAGGGCGCGUAGGCGGUUCGUACAGUUGGAUGUGAAAUUCCUGGGCUUAACCUGGGGGCUGCAUUCAAUACGUGCGGGCUUGAGUGUGGAAGAGGGUUGUGGAAUUCCCAGUGUAGAGGUGAAAUUCGUAGAUAUUGGGAAGAACACCGGUGGCGAAGGCGGCGACCUGGUCCUUGACUGACGCUGAGGCGCGAAAGCGUGGGGAGCAAACAGGAUUAGAUACCCCGGUAGUCCCUGUCUCUUAUAC